RNAcentral lists this ribosomal RNA (433 nucleotides) under uncultured bacterium. RNAcentral's name for it is "partial 16S ribosomal RNA". It matches the Rfam family "Bacterial small subunit ribosomal RNA", at positions 29 to 507 of the family's 1533-position model. The record is from RNAcentral.
AACGAACGCUGGCGGCAUGCCUAACACAUGCAAGUCGAACGAGACCUUCGGGUCUAGUGGCGCACGGGUGCGUAACGCGUGGGAACCUGCCCUUAGGUUCGGAAUAACUCCCCGAAAGGGGUGCUAAUACCGGAUAAUGUCUUCGGACCAAAGAUUUAUCGCCUUUGGAUGGGCCCGCGUUGGAUUAGCUAGUUGGCAGGGUAAAAGCCUACCAAGGCGACGAUCCAUAGCUGGUCUGAGAGGAUGAUCAGCCACACUGGGACUGAGACACGGCCCAGAAUCCUACGGGAGGCAGCAGUGGGGAAUAUUGGACAAUGGGCGAAAGCCUGAUCCAGCAAUGCCGCGUGAGUGAUGAAGGCAUUAGGGUUGUAAAGCUCUUUUACCCGGGAUGAUAAUGACAGUACCGGGAGAAUAAGCUCCGGCUAACUCCGUG